GGGUGAGCAACCUAGGUUUUGAAAGCUCUCAAUUAAAAAAGGAACAAACAGUGUUCUCUGUGUUAUGUUUACGAUUCUCUGCAUUAAGCUGCCGAUUUGCUAAAACUUUGGCCAAAUCUCAAAUCAUUUUAAAAAUGGUGUUCAUCUGUCGCUACUUUUAAGUUUUAUUUUUUGGGCCAAAUCUCAAAUCAUUUUACGAUUUUUGGGCUUAUGAGUCUCUUGAACUUGUGUCACACUCUACCCAUAUUUGCUAAUGUAGUGGGCAAUUGCACUUUAGUGAUGUAUAUAUUGGGAAUUAUUUUAUAUUAUUUUCUUUUUUUUUUAAUUUACUAAUCGUUUCAUGUUUCAUAGCUGAUGAAUCAGAUUAGUUAUGAGAUGAAAUGUUAAAAUUAUUUUUUUAAACUUUAAAUACAUCUUUUUGUUUCUUAAACGUAUAAGUAUGAUUUCUAAAACUUGUCUCAUUAUAAAUGUAAAUAAGGGUGGUUAUUGAACGAUUUGCUUCUACAACAAUGGAGUUGGCUCAUUUCCACUCAUGGGAUGGUACUAUUUCAACCCAUCUAAAGUAUUUUUAGCUAAUUAAUAAAUUUAGAUUUUAUUGGUAUAAAUUUUCUG
RNAcentral lists this long non-coding RNA (612 nucleotides) under Helianthus annuus (common sunflower). RNAcentral describes it as "hypothetical non coding rna". Lineage: Eukaryota; Viridiplantae; Streptophyta; Magnoliopsida; Asterales; Asteraceae. The record is from RNAcentral.